Pseudonaja textilis is the source of this 552-nucleotide non-coding RNA. The record is from RefSeq and is a predicted model, not a curated record. NCBI's taxonomy places the organism in Eukaryota, Metazoa, Chordata, Lepidosauria, Squamata, Elapidae.
GGAGGAGGCGCUCGUUAGUGCUGAACGAGGGACAGUAGCGAAUCGGUGGCCGCGGAGGGAGAGCGAUGGCGCGAUUGACAGCCGCGGCGGCGAAUAGGCGGACGGAGAGGCUCUGAAAGGCGGGAAGAAGUGAGGCCUCUUUUGCGACCACCCUGAGCUCCUGAUUGCAUCCCUUGGCCAGCAAAACCCUGCAGGAUAAGGGGAAGAUCCGAAUGCUUGGGGCAUCUCCGUUGAAGGAUCCCCUGGGAUCUGUUUUUUGUUUUUUUCAGCCAGCCUUGUCAUGAACAACUCAGGAAUUCUGGAUCAAAAGCUCUCGAUUUGCUGGAAUCAAGAUGUAUUACAUCGGCAGCGUUCCCACCGUCCAUUAAGGAAAGGAAAUGAUGGAAGAAAAAGGGGGUAAAAUAGCUAAAAUUCCACUAUUAUUACUUAAAAAGAGCAAAUGUGACAAAGUUAGAUGCCCCUCCCCCAAAUAAUCUCACUUUAAAGCAGGGGGGGAAUUUGAAAUAGUCCUUGAUUUACAACAGUCCAUUUAGUGACUGUUCAAAGAAAGAA